UACGGAGGGUGCGAGCGUUGUCCGGAAUCACUGGGCGUAAAGGGCGCGUAGGCGGCUGGGGAAGUCGGUGGUGAAAGCUCGUGGCUCAACUACGAGUCGGCCAACGAUACUCCUCGGCUCGAGCACUGUAGAGGCAGGUGGAAUUCCGGGUGUAGCGGUGGAAUGCGUAGAGAUCCGGAAGAACACCGGUGGCGAAGGCGGCCUGCUGGGGCGAGUGA
This 218-nucleotide ribosomal RNA is filed under the name uncultured bacterium. RNAcentral's name for it is "partial 16S ribosomal RNA". It matches the Rfam family "Bacterial small subunit ribosomal RNA", at positions 524 to 743 of the family's 1533-position model. The record is from RNAcentral.